GGAGAGGUGCCAGAGUGGACGAUCGGGACUGUCUCGAAAACAGUUGUACCCUCCGGGGUACCGUGGGUUCGAAUCCCACCCUCUCCGCCA
RNAcentral lists this transfer RNA (90 nucleotides) under Chloroflexota bacterium. RNAcentral's name for it is "Chloroflexi bacterium tRNA-Ser". It matches the Rfam family "tRNA". From Rfam's summary of the family: Transfer RNA (tRNA) molecules are approximately 80 nucleotides in length. Their secondary structure includes four short double-helical elements and three loops (D, anti-codon, and T loops). The record is from RNAcentral. Lineage: Bacteria; Bacillati; Chloroflexota.